This is a long non-coding RNA of Ictalurus punctatus (channel catfish), 494 nucleotides long. The record is from Ensembl. Lineage: Eukaryota; Metazoa; Chordata; Actinopteri; Siluriformes; Ictaluridae.
CUGAGAAAUGUGGCUCUUCCUGUAUUACAGCUAGAGAAGAGUUUAAAGUACAAUAAUUAUGUUCUUCGUGCAGCAACGUUUACUCAGCUCGUACACACCUUUAGAGUGGAAACACACAGUGAUCAACCGAGACAGCAAAGCUGAAAAACAGAGUCAAAGGUUCCUUUAUUUUAUUAACUGCUCAAAAGUGAAGUACAGAGGUGUGCACUGGGUGAAGCAUAAACACUUCUACAAACAUCAGGAAGUGAGAAACUGUGAAUGAUACAGUUACUGAGCUGAGAGCUGUGAGAAUGAUCAGUGAAAUUUUGUGUUUAUUACAAUCUAAUGAAGAUGAAGAAUGUUUACGUGUGUUUUAUAUCACAGUCUAAAUUCUUCCAGUGUCAUUGCUCAUGUUUAACACUGCAGACAGGCAUGCUGAGUCAAACAGACUAAUCAGUAUCACCUCAUACUGUUACAUGUGUGAACUGAAUGAUGUGAUUUCUUACUGAAAAGAU